Long non-coding RNA from Magnolia sinica, 861 nucleotides. RefSeq lists it as uncharacterized. The transcript has 2 exons. The record is from RefSeq and is a predicted model, not a curated record. Lineage: Eukaryota; Viridiplantae; Streptophyta; Magnoliopsida; Magnoliales; Magnoliaceae.
AUUGGCAUGAGCAAUAGCAAAGGGUUUUGAAAUUACUGCUGAUGCAGGCUGAAUGCAACAACGCUGCAGCAAUCUUUGUAACCUGCAUCUUCUUGUUGCUUGGCAUAUUUGGAUUGCUUCCAUAUCAAGAUUUCUCAUUUUUCUGUUCCCUGGUUUUUUUUUUUUUUUUUUUGGUGAUUUUCACUGUUGUACCUUCUUUGAAUUCUUUUAUAACAGUUUGCAUGUUGGAAAAUAUUCUUAAAUUCAGAUGCUUCCAGUUGUAGGCAAAUGCUUCUUAUCUCUACGAAUUGGGAUGUCCAUUGGUCUGGAUUAUUGAACAUAGGCAGAUUUCAGUUAUCCCUCAUGGUUCUCUACCAGUGCAAAAAAGCUAACCAAAAGGAUUCUGGACCCCAAUCCUUUAAUUGUAUGUACUUUUCCUUUUUGUGCUUUGACACAAGCACCAUGCCUUCAACGUUGACACAUCAUCAUCUCCACCAUCCUUGUAGAACACAUCCUUUUCCUCAAGUGAUUAUUGGCAACAUGCAACAUUAUAGUUGCAAUGCAAGCCCAAAAAGAAGCUCUGCCUGGAUAUGCAAUGCAAAGACAAGUUCCUCUUUCAUAGUGUCAUUACAAGUCAUGGUGCAACCAUAAAGGACAACCCCAGAAAUGGUGGGACCUUGUGUUUUCUCUAGUAGUGGAGCACAUCAUGGAGGAUUUAUUUAUUUAUUUUUAAUGUAUUCAUGCAAUUGUAAACUUAUUGUUGUAAAUAUAUAUAAUUUUUAUUAUAAAGUUGUACGAUAUUUGUUCAAUAUUAAUUUUUAAUUGUAUAUAAUAUUCUUUGGUUUUUAAAUAUAAAAACAAAUGUACAACUUUUAUUGGUCA